RNAcentral lists this long non-coding RNA (624 nucleotides) under Cricetulus griseus (Chinese hamster). RNAcentral's name for it is "lncRNA (ENSCGRG00015043044.1)". The record is from RNAcentral. Lineage: Eukaryota; Metazoa; Chordata; Mammalia; Rodentia; Cricetidae.
CUGGAGAGAUGGCUCAGCGGUCAAGAAUAUGGGCUGCUAAUCCAGAGGACGUGGGUUCAGUUUCCAGCACCCACAUGGCCGCUCACAAUUCCAGUUCCUUAGUGCUGCUGAUGCUGUUAUGCUGUUAGUUUAUGGACCACACUCUGACUCCAGUACCAUCACUGAGCUCAACAUCCAUCCAAGGCUCAAGAACAGUGAGAGGCAGUUCAGAGGAUUCAAGGAGACCAAAACCUGAGGGCCUGGGAUGCCCCAGCCGGCGGGGCUUCCAGUAAUUCUUUCAGAGGUCCAGUUCCUUAUGAUCAUGAAGGGGAGCAUGGCGGCAUGCAGGCAGACUCGGUGCUGGAGCUGAGAGCGGCACAUCUUGACUCAGAGGCAACAGGAAGUCGACUGCCAUUCUCACCCUUCUUUACUAGAGCUUUAUUGAUGAAAGACCCCCAGACCCCUAAGGGCCUCAGGAUCCCGAGGAGCCCCCGAGACUCAGAAACCAGACCAAGAGCUGCAAAAGCAAGAGGGUUUAUUGAACGAAUGCAUUCGGGUGUCAGCAAUAUUGGGAAAGCUGCACACCCCAGCAUGGGGUGCAAGCUCCUUAUAUAGGAGAAAACCGCAGAUCAGCAUUCAGGCCGG